UACGGGGGGGGCAAGCGUUGUUCGGAAUUACUGGGCGUAAAGGGCUCGUAGGCGGCCAACUAAGUCAUACGUGAAAUCCCUCAGCUUAACUGGGGAACUGCGUGUGAUACUGGAUGGCUUGGAUUUGGGAGAGGGAUGCGGAAUUCCAGGUGUAGCGGUGAAAUGCGUAGAUAUCUGGAGGAACACCGGUGGCGAAGGCGGCAUCCUGGACCAAUACUGACGCUGAGGAGCGAAAGCCAGGGGAGCAAACGGG
This 253-nucleotide ribosomal RNA is filed under the name uncultured bacterium. RNAcentral's name for it is "partial 16S ribosomal RNA". It matches the Rfam family "Bacterial small subunit ribosomal RNA", at positions 524 to 776 of the family's 1533-position model. The record is from RNAcentral.